CGGCCCAACGGGCGAGGAGGCUCGGUCUCCACCCCUUACCCAUCCUUCAAGGGCCACCUCGCGUCGCACCAUCUCCUGUGCGCCCACCCGCUUCUGGAGACCGGAGCCUCCUCCCCCCCACGUUGCCCAGCCCAGGAUGCUGGGCGCCUGCCCGGUGGUCUGGCGGGGCUCCCAGUCCCCGUGUCUGAAGGCGAUUGCAGGUCAGCCUCCCGGGGCUCCUAGAAACCCUCCCCGCUCCUCCCGCUGAAAGCCCGGAGGCGCGGGCACCCCCACGGUGCGCUGCCCAGACCUCCUCCGCCGGCUCUGCACUCCCCCUGCCCCUCCCUCGGUGACGGGGAGCUCCCGACGGCCUGGGAACAGCCUGGCGCGCUGUCGGUUCUUCCCGCAGAGCUGGACUGACCGUUAGGGAGGAUCCUGGCUCCCCGUAACCCCCACUCGAGGGCCACCCGCAGCCUCAGACACUGCAAGACGGGCCCUAGCGGCCCCAGCCUUUCUUCCCCAGGGUUAAACAUCCCCGAUUCCUUCCACAUCUGACAUGGUCGUCCGCAAGUAGUGGGCACAGACGUGCGCGGUCUGACUUCCCACCCGCUGUCAGGCCUUACUUCAGCUGCUUUUCCAAGUUGCUGGUAACUUUCCGGGGCUUCCUGCUAAGCUCUUUGCUGGGCUUCCAAAGGCUUUUCCAAGGAGGAGAAAGCUCCUGCAGAUGCAGAAAUGGGGGCAGGGGAAGGAGGGGGCCAAGCCACGUGCUCAUCCAGGUCACUCUCCAAUGGGGGUGUCUCGCUAGAUUACGCUGCCUCUAGGUCACCUGUGGUAGACGUUUGGUGUUAUAUUGACACAAAAGGCCUCUAACAAAUUCUCUAACACCACCUGGUUGUCCAACAGUUCAAUUCAGUUCUGUCCCUGACUACCCAGAGUGAGCACAGACCCACCCCCCGUCCCCCACAGAUGAGAGGUUGUCACACAAGACCGCUACCACUUCAGCCACCAGCUGCAAAUGGGGUGCUCAGACUAGUCACCCUGUCCA
This is a long non-coding RNA of Neofelis nebulosa (Clouded leopard), 1024 nucleotides long. RefSeq lists it as uncharacterized. The record is from RefSeq and is a predicted model, not a curated record. The transcript has 3 exons. Lineage: Eukaryota; Metazoa; Chordata; Mammalia; Carnivora; Felidae.